CCUGGUAGCUCAGAUGGUAAAGAAUCUGCCUGCAAUGCAGGAGACCCAGGUUCGAUCCCUGGGUCAGGA
Molecule: transfer RNA, 69 nt
Filed under: Odocoileus virginianus texanus
Lineage: Eukaryota; Metazoa; Chordata; Mammalia; Artiodactyla; Cervidae
Also listed under: 7 other names
Rfam family: tRNA
About the family: Transfer RNA (tRNA) molecules are approximately 80 nucleotides in length. Their secondary structure includes four short double-helical elements and three loops (D, anti-codon, and T loops). Further hydrogen bonds mediate the characteristic L-shaped molecular structure. tRNAs have two regions of fundamental functional importance: the anti-codon, which is responsible for specific mRNA codon recognition, and the 3' end, to which the tRNAs corresponding amino acid is attached (by aminoacyl-tRNA synthetases). tRNAs cope with the degeneracy of the genetic code in two manners: having more than one tRNA (with a specific anti-codon) for a particular amino acid; and 'wobble' base-pairing, i.e. permitting non-standard base-pairing at the 3rd anti-codon position.
Source: Rfam by way of RNAcentral